GGUUUGCCGGCAGCGAUGACAUCAGUCCUGACGCUAUGUGCCUCUUUUUUAAGCGUCUUUCUGAACUCUUAAGGCGUGCGUGUGUGGCGGCGGGCGCCAUUCGCCCCGGUUCCAGCCCGCUCUCCUCAGGAGCUGGGCGCGUGCCUGUGGCGCACCUCGGCCUGCGCUCGGCCCGGCGGCUCUGCCUCGGUGGAGAAACCGGCCGAGGAUGUUGUGAGGGAAAAAAGUGGGAAAAAAAUCCAUAGAUUCCUAACGAAUUCGCCCGUUAAAGUGCAACAAACGGCUGGGGUGUACGUAGAGCUUACUUGAGGAUUAAAUGAUGCAGGCUGGGUUUAAGAGCGUACUGAGAUGCCUGAGUGAAAGCAUGACCCGCUCACGAAUUCAUGCUUCCAUGCUUGCACGUGUCCCGGUAAACACACAAAUACAUGAAACUACUGACUUUCUCUCUCUCUCCUUCCUCUCCAUCUUGCUGCUUUUUAAAAAUAGAUUGAAAAAAGUGAAGUACCCCACGUUCUCCAGUACGGAGGAUGGGCGAGGGCGGACAUGGUCCUGUCAAGAGAUGGGGUUAACGCGGCGACGCGUUGCCUGCUGAAGAUACAGAGCGCUUUUGCAUUCAAAACCGAUGAGCUGACAAUUAUUUUGGUCGCAUUGAUUGUUUUUCAUCAGCCUUCCCUGUUCUGCGCUGGAGGAAGCCCCUCCUGCAGUACCACUGCUAGCCUUUACGCCGAGGGAGAGUCCUACCGCUGUACCCGUGCGAGUGCCAUGUAUGUUCAAGUCAAACCAAUGACCUCAUGAGCAGCAGAGCCAAAAAGCCUGGCUUCCUGCACCUGGGGAGUAGGAAAAUAUUUUUCUCAGUAUGUUUUGGGCUGAGAUGCUGCAGAUUCUGCUCUCCAGAACCACGGCCAGCCGCAGCCAGACCCUCCUGUGCAUCGCUUCAGGGAGAAACGGCCCCAAGUGCUUUUCAUGCCGCAGGCACGGCUUGCUGAGAGAGCUCUGCGAGGUCUGGGGCUUUGCUGCUAUCCGAACGUCGGGAAAAUUUCCUGCCAGAGAAACAUUCGUGCACGCUCAGCGAUGCUGAACUGCAAUCGAUACUGAAGAUAUGAACAGCGGAUGACUAUUGCCUGGGAAUUAAAUAGCCAAGGACUAUUAACUCGGCACUUCUGCUUCUAAUCAAGGAUGUAACUUUUAUAUUAUGGCUUCCAAAUCACUGAAACCCCACACGUCGGUCUCAGGACAGUCAUCUCGUUAACGCUGCUUGCUGGUGCAGUCAUUAGAUGCUAGCAGACAGCAAGGGGGUAAUUCAAACACGCGCAGAAGGCUUCCAGGAGCUGGCGUUGAAGACUGGGCACGCUGAUGCAGUUCUGCAUAGCAGAGACCUGUGUUAUCAUUUCGCACUGGAGUAAACCCAACAUGUCCACCACCCAAAGAAGUAGAUCGCUGGUGCUAUUUAUGGCUGGGACAUGCAACGCUCCUUGGCCGAAGCCAGCCUAUAGAUAACCUACCUAAGGAGCCGCUCCGGCACUGCUUACCAAAAGAGGCACGGAGUGCUUUCUGACACGCUACACUCAUGCUAUUUUCAAGCUUUGCCAGCAGCUGUUGGCUGCCUGCUUAUUAAGCAAGAAUAGGAAAUGCAGCAAGUUGAGGGCAGGGGAAGAAGAAUCUGUUUGGGUCCUCGCUCUGCUCCCAAGACAUAUUUUUCCUAAUAUUUAACUUAAGAACCUUUAUAAAUCUAUUUUGCUGGUUUUCUCCAGACACGUGUUACUUUGCUGUCAGAACAUACGAUAUACAGACAAGGAGGAGGUUGCUUGGUUGUUUUUUUUUUUUCAGAUGGAUCUUCUCCUACAGCGAUUUCUUGUACAGAAGACAUUAUGUUUGCUUCUGAAUAAAGUCGGGUAUGGCCAUGACCAAACUUCAGGUAUCACAUAAUCAUUGUGUGCCACAGAAAAACUUAGCAACUUCUUGUUCAGUUUGUUCUGGCAAUUGUUUUCUUUGGAUUUUCAAUUUGCUGCAUGAAGAUACCGACCAUUCAAACGGAGAUGCUGUACAGCCAUCGUAUGGCUUGAGCAGAGACAGCGCAGAGUGAAGGGUGACCUAUUCCUGACGCUUUUUAUAAGCAAAGCACAUCAGUGCUGGGGAGGCUGAAGUAGCAGAUGGUGGAAGAUAGCAAGCAGACUACCUAAAACUGUAACUUCUGCAAUUACUUUGCAUUGCAUUGCAUUACUUACAUAAAAAUAAAGUACAUCGCGGUGGCCAAGCGGUACCUAAGGCUUGCUCGUGGCGGUGAAUACAGCAGGUAGCAAGAACGCAGAACACUUGUUGCCGAGCUGUUCGCAUCAGCGCAUUCAGGCGCAUGGAUCCCCUAUGAGAAGAACUCCCAGAGGUAAGCGGUGCUGGGCAGGACAACAGGAAUGACCAGGAGAAGUCAGGCAGAGCUUACGAGAAGACACACGAUCUGCACCACACCGCUUUAUCCUCCCACGUAUUCUGCUCGUUUCAGCACAGGACUAGAUAUUUUGUUUCAUAGCAGAAAAAACAACAGUUUCAUUAUGAGGGCUGUAAACAUGUGAAUAACAACAGCGCUUCUACAUUAAGUACGUGCAUUGAAGAAUAAAAAAGCCCGGUACUGCUCCGUGCAUUAAAAUGUGCAACAGACAAGUGAAGCAAAUCACGCAGACACAGAACUUCACUUGUAAAUUAAGUCAGACUAAUUGAGCUCUGCCUGAACUUUCUUCCCCUGAAUCCUAAACAACCUGCCA
This is a long non-coding RNA of Grus americana (Whooping crane), 2756 nucleotides long. RefSeq lists it as uncharacterized. NCBI's taxonomy places the organism in Eukaryota, Metazoa, Chordata, Aves, Gruiformes, Gruidae. The transcript has 3 exons. The record is from RefSeq and is a predicted model, not a curated record.